UUCAGGUGUUCAUUUUUGUUCCUUGUUGCACUCCGAGGCAGGAUGUAGAUAUCUUCAUAACAAGAACAUUUUUACUUUCUUAGCAGACAACUUAAAAAGAAUGAUUGAGCAGAAUGAGAGAUUCUCAAACCGUCUAGCAAACCUCGCCUACCAACUCUCAAGAUCAUUUCUCCCACUUUCAUGAAGUACAAUUCCUUCUCAUCAUCAUCAAUUUCUUCAACAAAUAUAUUAAUCCAUUUUUAUAUAUUUUUCCGUCUUUUAUUUUUUUC
Molecule: long non-coding RNA, 269 nt
Organism: Eurytemora carolleeae
Lineage: Eukaryota; Metazoa; Arthropoda; Copepoda; Calanoida; Temoridae
Exons: 3
Source: RefSeq, a predicted model, not a curated record